CCUACGGGAGGCUGCAGUGAGGAAUAUUGGUCAAUGGGCGCGAGCCUGAACCAGCCAAGUAGCGUGAAGGAAGACUGCCCUACGGGUUGUAAACUUCUUUUAUAAAGGAAUAAAGUGAGGCACGUGUGCCUUUUUGCAUGUACUUUAUGAAUAAGGAUCGGCUAACUCCGUGCCAGCAGCCGCGGUAAUACGGAGGAUCCGAGCGUUAUCCGGAUUUAUUGGGUUUAAAGGGAGCGUAGAUGGGUUGUUAAGUCAGUGGUGAAAGUUUGCGGCUCAACCGCAAAAGUGCAAUUGAUACUGGCAGUCUUGAGUACAGUUGAGGUAGGCGGAAUGCGUGGUGUAGCGGUGAAAUGCUUAGAUAUCACGAAGAACUCCGAUUGCGAAGGCAGCUUACUAAACUGCAACUGACAUUGAGGCUCGAAAGUGUGGGGAUCAAACAGGAUUAGAUACCCCGGUAGUC
RNAcentral lists this ribosomal RNA (460 nucleotides) under uncultured bacterium. Its description in RNAcentral is "partial 16S ribosomal RNA". It matches the Rfam family "Bacterial small subunit ribosomal RNA", at positions 338 to 795 of the family's 1533-position model. The record is from RNAcentral.